This 255-nucleotide ribosomal RNA is filed under the name uncultured bacterium. RNAcentral describes it as "partial 16S ribosomal RNA". It matches the Rfam family "Bacterial small subunit ribosomal RNA", at positions 524 to 776 of the family's 1533-position model. The record is from RNAcentral.
UACGGAGGGAGCUAGCGUUAUUCGGAAUUACUGGGCGUAAAGGGAGCGUAGGCGGGUUAUCAAGUUGGGGGGUGAAAGCCCGGGGCUCAACUCCGGAAUUGCCUUUAAGACUGCAUCGCUAGAAUUGUGGAGAGGUAAGUGGAAUUCCGAGUGUAGAGGUGAAAUUCGUAGAUAUUCGGAAGAACACCAGUGGCGAAGGCGACUUACUGGACACAUAGUUGACGCUGAGGUGCGAAAGCGUGGGGAGCAAACAGG